This is a long non-coding RNA of Mauremys reevesii (Reeves's turtle), 173 nucleotides long. RefSeq lists it as uncharacterized. The record is from RefSeq and is a predicted model, not a curated record. The transcript is spliced from 3 exons. Lineage: Eukaryota; Metazoa; Chordata; Testudines; Geoemydidae.
UGGAAAAUAGCUUCUACACUCCACUUCUGGGAUGGUGCAUUUCAAUGGGCACAAAUAUUUUUCGCUGGAAAAAAAAGAAAAUAGAAACAUUCUGAAAACAUCAAAAUGGAUACUGGAUCAAGUCUUGCCCUGCUUGGUCGUGACUAGAAAUCACUACUAUAUAACAAUGUGAG